Molecule: long non-coding RNA, 3812 nt
Organism: Podarcis raffonei (Aeolian wall lizard)
Lineage: Eukaryota; Metazoa; Chordata; Lepidosauria; Squamata; Lacertidae
Exons: 2
Source: RefSeq, a predicted model, not a curated record
CGACCAGGUGGGGAUUUGAACCCAGGUUCUGACUGCGCCACAGUGGUCCUGGGGCGCAUAUGGGGAAGCCCGUCAGCAGGACCUGCGCACGAAAUAACACUCCCAACUUGUGAUUCCCAGUCCCUGACAUGGAGAGACAUACUCAGUGCUUCAAGGAAGAGAGCUGGAACAUCUCUAUUUUCAACUAACCACAUUUUGACCUUUCAUCCGAACCAGGACAAAAUGAUUAAUGUACACUGGUUUGUUGUAACAAAAUGUGAUUUCUGGUCCUACUUGUUUCAGCUAAAUCUUCAUUAAAACUAACCACAGUUGGACCCAGUUAGACAAAAUAAACUGCACUCAGUUGAAAACAUUAGUAGAUACCUUGACUGCUUCCUAGAAGUCACUCUGGAGGAGGGAGAUAAGAACAGGCUUGCUCAUGGUUUAGUAUUGUGUCCAAACCAGUUCAUUACAGCUUCAGAGGUACAUUGCGAAUUGUUGGGAGCAUAGGACAGUUAUGCCCCCCCCAACUGUGAGAUGUGAGAGGGCUUUUCACUUAUAUGUUGGUUAUUGGCUUCCCAAAAAUUGGCCAUUGUGGGAACAGAAUAGCCUUUGGGGUGAACCAGUAGGUCUGUUUUUCUUUGCUUGACCAAAAGAACAUCUCACUUGCUGAGGUUUUAAAUCCAUGGAAGACAGGAACCAUUUGAGGGCAUUCAAAUGGACAAGGAACGUGUGUGUCCUCUGGCAAAUCACCAUCAAGUUUACAGCCCUCUAUGACUUUCAGGGCAAAGGUCUGUGACAGAAUGUCUCCUUUACUCAUAGAGGGGCCCUGAUUGCAUUUUGGACCUUUGCCCUUAUACUUGUGCAGAGCUGUAAAUAGGAUGGAUGAUGGCCAUGCUUUGGAAAGGGUGGGGCUUAGCUGCAUGCUCCUAUUCUCCCUUGCAUGAUUGUUUGCACAUAAGUAGGGAUGGAAGGAUCUGUCAGUUUCACAUUUUUCCCUUCUUAAAUUCGGUUUCCACAUUUCUGCAGCAAUUUGCUAAAGAAAGAAACAAAUCCUCAUGAAACUGGUAUCAUUUUAGUGAAAAAUUCUCCUAAACAUAUCCAUUUUAAUGCAGUUUCCUCUAAUAAAGGCAUUUUUAUAAACAUUGGUUGGUUGGAGACGUACAUUACAAAAUUUGAAUAGGUGUGAAUUUCGGAGGAUGGCUCUGUUUUGGUUCUGUUGUUCAGAUUUGGUAGAGUCAUCUUUAAAUAUGAUCUGAAUCAAAUUUCUCCUUACCCUAGCACUAACCCAUGUGUAAUCUGAAUCCCGCAGUAAGGCGUUUGUUUCCAAGUAAACCAAUACAGCAGGCAGAGAACCACAUUCUGUAACAUGGCAUGCAAGGGAGAAGCCUAGGCAAUAAUUUUAGUGUGGAAAGUGAGAUGUUGCAAUCACAUCCCCAUUUUUGUGGAAUGUUGGGGUGGUGUGCAGCUGUUGCUUUCAUGUACUGCCAUAGGCUUUCAGGUAGAAUUUAUUGGCCUGGUGUGGAAAACCAAAGCUCCAUCCCAAAUCAGAGAUGCAAAUUUGGAGAAGGGUUAUAGCCCUGUGGUAGAGCAUCUGUUUUGCAUGUAUAAAGUCCCAGGUUCAAUGCUCAGCAUUUCCAGAUUGGUUUGGGAAUGUCACCUGCCUGAAACCUUGGAGAGCUGCUGUAGACAAUACUGACCUAGAUGGACCAAUGGCCUGACUUGGUAUAUGGCAUCUUCUGGGUUGUAUCCAAUGUUUGUUCUACUCAGAGUAAACCUAUUGAAAUUUGUGGACUUAAAUUAGUUAUGUCCAUUGGUUCAAUGGGUCUACUUUGAGUAGAACUAACAUUGGGUACAAGCCUAUUUCCCUAAAUUUAGGACAGCUUGGGAAUCAGAGGCAAAUUCUGGUUCUUGCCAUCAGGGCUUAGUCUUAGCUAUAGAGCUAUGACAGGAUUAAGUACCAACACCCACAAUCUGUUGACAAGAACAGAUAGGCUAAAACAGGUUUGGUCCAACAUCAGUGUAAUCCCUAAUAUCACCACCACCCUUCUCUUAGGAAAUUCCCUCAAAGUUUCAAAAAAAUAACUGCAUUCAGUUAGUUACCUCAUUGUUGACCCUUCAUAUACUUUAAACUGCUGACAAAUACAGCUUGCACCACACAUUGUUAUUUCGGAUCCACGGAGCCCAUUUUAGAAAGAAAUGCUUUGCAAUUUGAUGCUAACCUUCCUUUUCCAACCACAAGACAAUUCACAACCCUUCUAAAAAUAGAUCCUUUUACCGUCUCAGCCCAAAGUCCUACCAAUGACAACUGUGUUGGACCUUAUCUGCAAAAACAGAGAAGAGUUAAUGGCUAACCAGACUAUUACGUAUUGCCUAUACAGAAUUUUUUCAUGAGCUCCUGAUAUUUUGGGGAUAGAACCCAACUCCAGCUAAACUGCAUCCUAGGCAUAUAAAGGGGGCUCUGAAAUUCAGAAAGGUGGAUAUUAUCAGGGACCACAUGCACACACAUCCUCCAUUAGAAGAUUAUUUGAAAUCAUCAGAAAUAGUCAACAAAAUGGACACAUUAGUUUUACUUAAGGUGUGAUACAUUAAAAAAUAUAUACAUAUUGAUAUAUGAUUGUAUCCAACACUGGUCAUACUUGGAGUAGACCCACUGAAAUUAAUAUACAGUGGUACCUUGGGUUAUAAGUACUUAAUUCGUUCCGGAGGUCUGUUCUUAACCUGAAACUGUUCUUAACCUGAAGCACUACUUUAGCUAAUGGGGCCUCCUGCUGCCGCCACGCUGCCGGAGAAUGAUUUCUGUUCUCAUCCUGAAGUAAAGUUCUUAACCCGAGGUACUUCUGGGUUAGCGGAGUCUGUGAGCUGAAGCGUAUGUAACCUGAAGCAUAUGUAACCCGAGGUACCACUGUACAUGGCUAACUUAGGUAGAGAGUAGCAGUUGUAUACAACCUUUCUUCUACCUUUGCAUAUACAAGAUGUUUCUAAUGCAGUUGGGUGGAAUUAAGCCCAAUCACAACUGCUCACUGCCUGCUUGUACCAUCACCACACACCACAAGUCUUAGUAGCAGAGCUCUGAAUAUUUCCCUCCCUAGUGACUGGACUAAAUUGAACCUGGGGAGUAGAAUAACUUGACAGAGGAAAUAUUCUGUCCCUUCCUUGGACAGAGGUAGCUAGUCUUUUUGGGCCUGAAAAGUUGCAUUUGUUCUUGGCCAACCCUCCAUUGGCCUCUUGCCAGUGAAAGGUGAGACCAAGACUAAAGAGAGUGUGGAAACUCUCGAGCACAAGUCACACGCGCACACACACACACACGAGGGGGCAGAUGUUGAAAACUCUCAGCUUAGCUCAUUACCAUAUGGGGAUUAACUAGUCUAGGUGACUGAAGCAAAGAGGAGAACUGUUGAGGUGUUUCCCAAUUUAAAGCACCCUAAUGCGGAUAGUUACUUUCCCGGUCUGGAGAGUUCUACAGGUCGUCAAGGGCAAAGCAGCAAGUUAAAAAUACGUAGCUAGGCAGACUUGUCUCCAUAGUAUACAUCCCUUUGAGUCUCUGGCUGGAGUCUUGUACGUAAAACAUAAUUGUACCUAAAUUGUGUUUCAAAGUUGGCAUAAGUAGUGCCAGAGUUGCAUUGAAAUUCAGUGAUACUGCCUUCUGACUAGGCUGGGUGGGGAACUUUAGGUCCUCCAACUGUAGGACUACACUCCCAUCAUUCCUGGCCUCUGGCAAGACUGAUUGGGGCUGAUGUAAGAUGGAGUCCAACAUCUGGAGGACCAACAAUUCCUCAUCCCUCUGUAGGCUGUUGUAUUCUGUCUCUCUGAAAUAAAACUUAUGAUUUUAA